UACGUAGGGUGCGAGCGUUGUCCGGAAUUAUUGGGCGUAAAGAGCUCGUAGGCGGUCUGUCGCGUCUGCUGUGAAAUCCCGAGGCUCAACCUCGGGCCUGCAGUGGGUACGGGCAGACUAGAGUGUUGCAGGGGAGACUGGAAUUCCUGGUGUAGCGGUGAAAUGCGCAGAUAUCAGGAGGAACACCGGUGGCGAAGGCGGGUCUCUGGGCAACAACUGACGCUGAGGAGCGAAAGCGUGGGGAGCGAACAGG
RNAcentral lists this ribosomal RNA (253 nucleotides) under uncultured bacterium. RNAcentral's name for it is "partial 16S ribosomal RNA". It matches the Rfam family "Bacterial small subunit ribosomal RNA", at positions 524 to 776 of the family's 1533-position model. The record is from RNAcentral.